RNAcentral lists this ribosomal RNA (477 nucleotides) under uncultured organism. Its description in RNAcentral is "partial 16S ribosomal RNA". It matches the Rfam family "Bacterial small subunit ribosomal RNA", at positions 333 to 801 of the family's 1533-position model. The record is from RNAcentral.
ACACUCCUGCGGGAGGCAGCAGUGGGGAAUUUUGGACAAUGGGCGAAAGCCUGAUCCAGCAAUGCCGCGUGAGUGAAGAAGGCCUUCGGGUUGUAAAGCUCUUUUGUCAGGGAAGAAACGGUGAAAGCUAAUAUCUUUUGCUAAUGACGGUACCUGAAGAAUAAGCACCGGCUAACUACGUGCCAGCAGCCGCGGUAAUACGUAGGGUGCAAGCGUUAAUCGGAAUUACUGGGCGUAAAGCGUGCGCAGGCGGUUUUGUAAGUCUGAUGUGAAAUCCCCGGGCUCAACCUGGGAAUUGCAUUGGAGACUGCAAGGCUAGAAUCUGGCAGAGGGGGGUAGAAUUCCACGUGUAGCAGUGAAAUGCGUAGAUAUGUGGAGGAACACCGAUGGCGAAGGCAGCCCCCUGGGUAAAGAUUGACGCUCAUGCACGAAAGCGUGGGGAGCAAACAGGAGUAGAGACCCUAGUAGUCCCAUGAU